GGGCCCGCACAAGCGGUGGAGCAUGUGGUUUAAUUCGAUGCAACGCGAAGAACCUUACCAAGGCUUGACAUACUACAGAUUUCUUUGAAAAAGGAAAGUGCCUUCGGGAAUGUAGAUACAGGUGGUGCAUGGCUGUCGUCAGCUCGUGUCGUGAGAUGUUGGGUUAAGUCCCGCAACGAGCGCAACCCUUAUUUUUAGUUGCUAAUUUAGUUUAGGUUUUCUAGAAAGACUGCCGGUGACAAACCGGAGGAAGGUGAGGAUGACGUCAAGUCAGCAUGCCCCUUAUGCCUUGGGCUACACACGUGCUACAAUGGUUAAGACAAAGAGUUGCGAGCUCGUGAGAGUCAGCUAAUCUCAUAAACUUAGCCUAAGUUCGGAUUGUAGGCUGCAACUCGCCUGCAUG
RNAcentral lists this ribosomal RNA (403 nucleotides) under uncultured bacterium. RNAcentral's name for it is "bacterial SSU rRNA". It matches the Rfam family "Bacterial small subunit ribosomal RNA", at positions 917 to 1322 of the family's 1533-position model. The record is from RNAcentral.